RNAcentral lists this transfer RNA (64 nucleotides) under Stenopus hispidus (banded coral shrimp). RNAcentral's name for it is "tRNA-Asn". Lineage: Eukaryota; Metazoa; Arthropoda; Malacostraca; Decapoda; Stenopodidae. The record is from RNAcentral.
UUGAUUAAAGCCAAAGAGAGGCAUAUUAUUGUUAAUAAUAAAAUUAGGUAUUACCUUAAUCAAG